UGCAGUCGACGAUGAUGCCCAGCUUGCUGGGUGGAUUAGUGGCGAACGGGUGAGUAACACGUGAGUAACCUGCCCCUGACUCUGGGAUAAGCGUUGGAAACGACGUCUAAUACUGGAUAUGACUGCCGGCCGCAUGGUCUGGUGGUGGAAAGAUUUUUUGGUUGGGGAUGGACUCGCGGCCUAUCAGCUUGUUGGUGAGGUAAUGGCUCACCAAGGCGACGACGGGUAGCCGGCCUGAGAGGGUGACCGGCCACACUGGGACUGAGACACGGCCCAGACUCCUACGGGAGGCAGCAGUGGGGAAUAUUGCACAAUGGGCGAAAGCCUGAUGCAGCAACGCCGCGUGAGGGAUGACGGCCUUCGGGUUGUAAACCUCUUUUAGUAGGGAAGAAGCGAAAGUGACGGUACCUGCAGAAAAAGCACCGGCUAACUACGUGCCAGCAGCCGCGGUAAUACGUAGGGUGCAAGCGUUGUCCGGAAUUAUUGGGCGUAAAGAGCUCGUAGGCGGUUUGUCGCGUCUGCUGUGAAAUCCCGAGGCUCAACCUCGGGCUUGCAGUGGGUACGGGCAGACUAGAGUGCGGUAGGGGAGAUUGGAAUUCCUGGUGUAGCGGUGGAAUGCGCAGAUAUCAGGAGGAACACCGAUGGCGAAGGCAGAUCUCUGGGCCGUAACUGACGCUGAGGAGCGAAAGCGUGGGGAGCGAACAGGAUUAGAUACCCUGGUAGUCCACGCCGUAAACGUUGGGCGCUAGAUGUAGGGACCUUUCCACGGUUUCUGUGUCGUAGCUAACGCAU
RNAcentral lists this ribosomal RNA (792 nucleotides) under Curtobacterium sp. Its description in RNAcentral is "bacterial SSU rRNA". It matches the Rfam family "Bacterial small subunit ribosomal RNA", at positions 56 to 860 of the family's 1533-position model. Lineage: Bacteria; Bacillati; Actinomycetota; Actinomycetes; Micrococcales; Microbacteriaceae. The record is from RNAcentral.